This 655-nucleotide ribosomal RNA is filed under the name uncultured bacterium. RNAcentral describes it as "bacterial SSU rRNA". It matches the Rfam family "Bacterial small subunit ribosomal RNA", at positions 187 to 845 of the family's 1533-position model. The record is from RNAcentral.
GCAUGUUCACAUGAUUAAAGGUAUUCCGGUAGACGAUGGGGAUGCGUUCCAUUAGAUAGUAGGCGGGGUAACGGCCCACCUAGUCUUCGAUGGAUAGGGGUUCUGAGAGGAAGGUCCCCCACAUUGGAACUGAGACACGGUCCAAACUCCUACGGGAGGCAGCAGUGAGGAAUAUUGGUCAAUGGGCGAGAGCCUGAACCAGCCAAGUAGCGUGAAGGAUGACUGCCCUAUGGGUUGUAAACUUCUUUUAUAAAGGAAUAAAGUCGGGUAUGCAUACCCGUUUGCAUGUACUUUAUGAAUAAGGAUCGGCUAACUCCGUGCCAGCAGCCGCGGUAAUACGGAGGAUCCGAGCGUUAUCCGGAUUUAUUGGGUUUAAAGGGAGCGUAGAUGGAUGUUUAAGUCAGUUGUGAAAGUUUGCGGCUCAACCGUAAAAUUGCAGCUGAUACUGGAUAUCUUGAGUGCAGCUGAGGCAGGCGGAAUUCGUGGUGUAGCGGUGAAAUGCUUAGAUAUCACGAAGAACUCCGAUUGCGAAGGCAGCCUGCUAAGCUGCAACUGACAUUGAGGCUCGAAAGUGUGGGUAUCAAACAGGAUUAGAUACCCUGGUAGUCCACACGGUAAACGAUGAAUACUCGCUGUUUGCGAUAUACAGCAAGCG